UACAGAGGGUGCAAACGUUGUUCGGAAUUACUGGGCAUAAAGCGCACGUAGGCGGCUUGGUAAGUGUGAAGUGAAAGCCCACGGCUCACCCGUGGAACUGCUUUGCAUACUGCCUGGCUCGAGGACGGUAGGGGAGAGCAGAACUCCUGGAGGAGCGGUGAAAUGCGUAGAUAUCAGGAGGAAUACCAGUGGCGAAGGCGGCUCUCUGGUCCGUUUCUGACGCUGAGGUGCGAAAGCUAGGGUAGCGAACGGGAUUAGAUACCCCAGUAGUCC
RNAcentral lists this ribosomal RNA (273 nucleotides) under uncultured bacterium. Its description in RNAcentral is "partial 16S ribosomal RNA". It matches the Rfam family "Bacterial small subunit ribosomal RNA", at positions 524 to 796 of the family's 1533-position model. The record is from RNAcentral.